UACGGCCGUAGAGAGUUGAAACGCCGGCUCUCGUACGAUCACUAAGUUAAGCAACGUCGAGCCUGAUCAGUACCUAGAUGGGUGACCGCUUGGGAAUACGAAAUGUUGCAAG
Non-coding RNA from Acanthosepion pharaonis, 112 nucleotides. Lineage: Eukaryota; Metazoa; Mollusca; Cephalopoda; Sepiida; Sepiidae. The record is from the annotation of a GenBank genome assembly.